UAUAGCAUAUCAAUAAGCGGAGGAAAAGAAACUAACAAGGAUUCCCCUAGUAACUGCGAGUGAAGCGGGAAAAGCUCAAAUUUAAAAUCUGGCGGUCUUUGUCGUCCGAGUUGUAGUCUGGAGAAGUGCUUUCCGCGCUGGACCGUGUAUAAGUCUCUUGGAACAGAGCGUCAUAGAGGGUGAGAAUCCCGUCUUUGACACGGACUACCAGUGCUUUGUGAUGCGCUCUCAAAGAGUCGAGUUGUUUGGGAAUGCAGCUCAAAAUGGGUGGUGAAUUCCAUCUAAAGCUAAAUAUUGGCGAGAGACCGAUAGCGAACAAGUACCGUGAGGGAAAGAUGAAAAGCACUUUGGAAAGAGAGUUAAACAGUACGUGAAAUUGCUGAAAGGGAAACGCUUGAAGUCAGUCGCGUCUGCCGGAACUCAGCCUUCCUUUUGGUUGGUGCACUUUCUGGUAGACGGGCCAGCAUCGAUUUUGACCGUAGGAUAAGGGCUGGAGAAAUGUGGCACCUUCGGGUGUGUUAUAGUCUUCAGUCGCAUACUACGGUUGGGAUCGAGGACCGCAGCGCGCCGCAAGGCAGGGGUUCGCCCACUUUCGCGCUUAGGAUGCUGGCAUAAUGGCUUUAAACGACCCGUCUUGAAACACGGACCAAGGAGUCUAACAAACCUGCGAGUGUUUGGGUGGAAAACCCGAGCGCGUAAUGAAAGUGAAAGUUGAGACCUCUGUCGUGGAGGGCAUCGACGCCCGGACCUGACGUUCUCUGACGGAUCCGCGGUAGAGCAUGUUUGUUGGGACCCGAAAGAUGGUGAACUAUGCCUGAAUAGGGUGAAGCCAGAGGAAACUCUGGUGGAGGCUCGUAGCGAUUCUGACGUGCAAAUCGAUCGUCAAAUUUGGGUAUAGGGGCGAAAGACUAAUCGAACCAUCUAGUAGCUGGUCCUGCGAUCU
RNAcentral lists this ribosomal RNA (943 nucleotides) under Lentinus sp. Its description in RNAcentral is "partial large subunit ribosomal RNA". It matches the Rfam family "Eukaryotic large subunit ribosomal RNA", at positions 35 to 967 of the family's 3401-position model. Lineage: Eukaryota; Fungi; Basidiomycota; Agaricomycetes; Polyporales; Polyporaceae. The record is from RNAcentral.